GGGGAUUUAGCUCAGUGGUAGAGCGCUUGCCUAGCAAGCACAAGGCCCUGGGUUCGGUCCCUAGCUCCU
This 69-nucleotide transfer RNA is filed under the name Rattus norvegicus (Norway rat). It matches the Rfam family "tRNA". Rfam says of the family: Transfer RNA (tRNA) molecules are approximately 80 nucleotides in length. Their secondary structure includes four short double-helical elements and three loops (D, anti-codon, and T loops). The record is from Rfam by way of RNAcentral. Lineage: Eukaryota; Metazoa; Chordata; Mammalia; Rodentia; Muridae.